UACGUAGGUGGCAAGCGUUGUCCGGAUUUACUGGGCGUAAAGAGCGCGCAGGCGGUCGUUCAAGUCGCGUGUGAAAGCCCCCGGCUCAACUGGGGAGGGUCACGCGAUACUGAUCGACUCGAAGGCAGGAGAGGGAAGUGGAAUUCCCGGUGUAGUGGUGAAAUUCGUAGAUAUUCGGAAGAACACCAGUGGCGAAGGCGACUUACUGGACACAUAUUGACGCUGAGGUGCGAAAGCGUGGGGAGCAAACAGG
Molecule: ribosomal RNA, 253 nt
Filed under: uncultured bacterium
Lineage: Bacteria
Description: partial 16S ribosomal RNA
Rfam family: Bacterial small subunit ribosomal RNA
Source: RNAcentral